GGAGUGGUGGCCGAGUGGCUUAAGGCGUGCGCCUGCUAAGCGUAUGGGGGGCAACCCCCGCGUGGGUUCGAAUCCCACCCACUCCGCCA
Molecule: transfer RNA, 89 nt
Filed under: Phycisphaerales bacterium
Lineage: Bacteria; Pseudomonadati; Planctomycetota; Phycisphaerae; Phycisphaerales
Description: tRNA-Ser
Rfam family: tRNA
About the family: Transfer RNA (tRNA) molecules are approximately 80 nucleotides in length. Their secondary structure includes four short double-helical elements and three loops (D, anti-codon, and T loops).
Source: RNAcentral